RNAcentral lists this long non-coding RNA (1210 nucleotides) under Capra hircus (goat). RNAcentral describes it as "lncRNA (ENSCHIG00010022856.1)". Lineage: Eukaryota; Metazoa; Chordata; Mammalia; Artiodactyla; Bovidae. The record is from RNAcentral.
CUAGAAGCCAAGAGGAUAGACAUGUGCAGAAAUAAUUUACAGUUCAGAUCUAUAUCUGAGAAGUCUAGAAAGGUACACUAGAAAAAUCUACAAAGUACCAAGGUAGCUACAAGGAAAGGGAUACCUCUUUAUCAGGGGAAAGAGAGCUGUAAUCAAGGGCAACUUCACAAAGCAGGUUGAGUCUUAAAAAAUGAAAAGUAAUUUGUCAGAAGAGUACAGGGAAGCAUUUCAGAUGAAGGAACUGAUAAAAGCAUAAAAAGUAAGAGCAAUUUUGUAAACUAAGAAUAAUACUGCAGUUGAAGCUUGGCAUGUUGUUAAAAAGGUUCUGUGAUGAAGUAGAGAAGAGAAUAUACUGUGACUUUAUAUGUCUGUCCUGUAUUUUGAAAUUUUGUUUAGUUUCUGAUUGUUUUUUUCACUGAUGCUUGGGUGAAUUCAUUAAUGAAUCUUUGAGGUGUUUGUGUGCCUGUAUCCUGGUGACAUCUAGUAUUUCCCAAAUGGUUUGUUGAAGUUUUUGAUCAUUGGAAGUAUUUCUUAAAGAAGUAAAUAUUCAUCUGAAGACAAAUAUUGACUUAAGCUGUCAUUUGAUACAAUGUUUUAAAUCUGUGUUUUAAAUAAAGAUUAUGUCUUUUAUCUAAAUAUUCUAAAUAAUUUUAACCAAACAUGCAGAUUUGUCAGGAGAACUAGACUUGGAAGUGAUAUUGGAGGAAGAACAAGAAAAACCUGAUGGAGAUGAAAAUAACCGUUUACAGGUUCAAGAAGAAAAGAAGCACGAAAGUAGUGAAGUGGAAGUAUCAGACAACAAAUGUGAUGCUGCUGAUGAGAGUGGAUUGAUUCAGCAGAGAAAGAGUGGAAGAAACAGCAGCCAGGAGUUUCCUGCUAUGGAGAAUGAAGAUUUUGAUAGGUAAUCCUGUAUCAAUAUUUAACAUCAGGCCAUUUGUUAUUUUCCUAUAAAGCAAUUUCUAACUUGAACUGAUGUUUGUGAUUUACACAUUUUACAUUUUACUAGGGAUAUAGUUAUUUUUAAUACUCUUGUCCUUUAGCCUUAANNNNNNNNNNNNNNUCCUUUGUUAACAUACCACCAUGUUACAUAUUGGAAUAUUCUGGAUUUGACUGCAUACUUGUCUUAAUCAGUGUGUUGUAUAUUUAAAUUUGUUUCAUUGCUAAUGAACAUCUUUUCAUUUCAGUUUGAGGACUUCUUUCAGCAUUUCUC